RNAcentral lists this ribosomal RNA (576 nucleotides) under Staphylococcus aureus. Its description in RNAcentral is "partial 23S ribosomal RNA". It matches the Rfam family "Bacterial large subunit ribosomal RNA", at positions 328 to 907 of the family's 2925-position model. The record is from RNAcentral. Lineage: Bacteria; Bacillati; Bacillota; Bacilli; Caryophanales; Staphylococcaceae.
AUUAGACGAAUCAUCUGGAAAGAUGAAUCAAAGAAGGUAAUAAUCCUGUAGUCGAAAAUGUUGUCUCUCUUGAGUGGAUCCUGAGUACGACGGAGCACGUGAAAUUCCGUCGGAAUCUGGGAGGACCAUCUCCUAAGGCUAAAUACUCUCUAGUGACCGAUAGUGAACCAGUACCGUGAGGGAAAGGUGAAAAGCACCCCGGAAGGGGAGUGAAAUAGAACCUGAAACCGUGUGCUUACAAGUAGUCAGAGCCCGUUAAUGGGUGAUGGCGUGCCUUUUGUAGAAUGAACCGGCGAGUUACGAUUUGAUGCAAGGUUAAGCAGUAAAUGUGGAGCCGUAGCGAAAGCGAGUCUGAAUAGGGCGUUUAGUAUUUGGUCGUAGACCCGAAACCAGGUGAUCUACCCUUGGUCAGGUUGAAGUUCAGGUAACACUGAAUGGAGGACCGAACCGACUUACGUUGAAAAGUGAGCGGAUGAACUGAGGGUAGCGGAGAAAUUCCAAUCGAACCUGGAGAUAGCUGGUUCUCUCCGAAAUAGCUUUAGGGCUAGCCUCAAGUGAUGAUUAUUGGAGGUAGAG